This 787-nucleotide ribosomal RNA is filed under the name uncultured organism. Its description in RNAcentral is "bacterial SSU rRNA". It matches the Rfam family "Bacterial small subunit ribosomal RNA", at positions 59 to 842 of the family's 1533-position model. The record is from RNAcentral.
AAGUCGAACGGCAGCACGGGAGCAAUCCUGGUGGCGAGUGGCGAACGGGUGAGUAAUGUAUCGGAACGUGCCCAGUCGUGGGGGAUAACGCAGCGAAAGCUGUGCUAAUACCGCAUACGAUCUAUGGAUGAAAGCGGGGGAUCGCAAGACCUCGCGCGAUUGGAGCGGCCGAUAUCAGAUUAGCUAGUUGGUGGGGUAAAAGCUCACCAAGGCGACGAUCUGUAGCUGGUCUGAGAGGACGACCAGCCACACUGGAACUGAGACACGGUCCAGACUCCUACGGGAGGCAGCAGUGGGGAAUUUUGGACAAUGGGCGCAAGCCUGAUCCAGCAAUGCCGCGUGCAGGAUGAAGGCCUUCGGGUUGUAAACUGCUUUUGUACGGAGCGAAAAGGCUCUCUCUAAUACAGGGGGCUCAUGACGGUACCGUAAGAAUAAGCACCGGCUAACUACGUGCCAGCAGCCGCGGUAAUACGUAGGGUGCGAGCGUUAAUCGGAAUUACUGGGCGUAAAGCGUGCGCAGGCGGUUUUGUAAGACAGAUGUGAAAUCCCCGGGCUCAACCUGGGACCUGCAUUUGUGACUGCAAGGCUGGAGUACGGCAGAGGGGGAUGGAAUUCCGCGUGUAGCAGUGAAAUGCGUAGAUAUGCGGAGGAACACCGAUGGCGAAGGCAAUCCCCUGGGCCUGUACUGACGCUCAUGCACGAAAGCGUGGGGAGCAAACAGGAUUAGAUACCCUGGUAGUCCACGCCCUAAACGAUGUCAACUGGUUGUUGGGUCUUAACUGACUCA